GAUGAACGCUGGCGGCGUGCCUAAUACAUGCAAGUCGAGCGAACAGACGAGGAGCUUGCUCCUCUGACGUUAGCGGCGGACGGGUGAGUAACACGCGGAUAACCUACCUAUAAGACUGGGAUAACUUCGGGAAACCGGAGCUAAUACCGGAUAAUAUAUUGAACCGCAUGGUUCAAUAGUGAAAGACGGUUUUGCUGUCACUUAUAGAUGGAUCCGCGCCGCAUUAGCUAGUUGGUAAGGUAACGGCUUACCAAGGCAACGAUGCGUAGCCGACCUGAGAGGGGGAUCGGCCACACUGGAACUGAGACACGGUCCAGACUCCGACGGGAGGCAGCAGUAGGGAAUCUUCCGCAAUGGGCGAAAGCCUGACGGAGCAACGCCGCGUGAGUGAUGAAGGUCUUCGGAUCGUAAAACUCUGUUAUUAGGGAAGAACAAAUGUGUAAGUAACUAUGCACGUCUUGACGGUACCUAAUCAGAAAGCCACGGCUAACUACGUG
This 497-nucleotide ribosomal RNA is filed under the name uncultured bacterium. Its description in RNAcentral is "partial 16S ribosomal RNA". It matches the Rfam family "Bacterial small subunit ribosomal RNA", at positions 28 to 507 of the family's 1533-position model. The record is from RNAcentral.